Oxyura jamaicensis (ruddy duck) is the source of this 695-nucleotide long non-coding RNA. RefSeq lists it as uncharacterized. The transcript has 4 exons. The record is from RefSeq and is a predicted model, not a curated record. NCBI's taxonomy places the organism in Eukaryota, Metazoa, Chordata, Aves, Anseriformes, Anatidae.
GUAAGAGUUACUUCAGAUCUGCAGGGCAGAGUCUUCAGGUUAACUUCUCUACUUGGAACUACUAUGUACCCCAGCAGAAGGACAACAGUACUUAGAAUUGCAGGUAGCUUACUAAUCUCUGUGGGACUCAGGGAGAGAAAGCCUUAAAGAAGUCUGUGUGCAACUUGAAGACAACUAUUUCUCUGACUUGCACGAUCUUUCUCCAAGCACCUGACACUGACCUUUUGGGCCUGGCUCCCACCUCCUGUAAUUUCUUCUCUCUGCAACUCCUGCAUUCGUUUACAGGGGGCAUGUGUAAUGCAGAACGCUGUUACACCAAACACAUGAAGUUCUUGGCUUGGUCUCUGCGUUAAAACAACACGAACUGCAGUGCUGACUCAUGGACACCUGUGACGUUGUUCAUGGCAGCAACAGAUAUUUGAGGAUACGCUUUCCAAUACAUGGUUUGUACCUGUGCGACUGGCAUUGCACCCUCCCCGAGUGUAAUUCAUUCCAAUGUAAGCUCUGCAGUUUUGCAAAUCAGAUUAUCGUUCCUUAGGAACCCUGAUAUAUGUCUGGAGCUUUUCUCUUGCAGUACUUCUUACAUAGAGUAAGAGCAUACUUAACUAAAAUGUGUGGUGUGCCACCAUCAAAACCUGAAGGAACACAUCCUGUUUGAAAGCUAGCUUUUCAAAUGCACACAACCAAAUUUGUAU